AGAACAGGGAAGAAAGUGCCCGAGUGAAUACUUUAAUUAACUCACAUGCAAUUUUAAUUAAAAACAUAAUGUGUCAGGAAAAUGAGUAAUGCCUUAGGGCAAUAAAAUAGCUGGGUUUCUUGCUUAAUCUUCUGCUUCAUCUCUCUCAUGGCACGUGUAUAUUAUUGUUAAGAAAAGAUUUUCUUCUUCUGUUUCAUAGUCAAAAAGAACCCCUGCUGACAAAAAUGAGUUAAAAAUAUAAAAAAGCUGUAGAAAAAUACCCUGUGGGAGGGCUCUCCUUUUCUUUCUUAAUCAAGAGUCCCUGAUUUCCUUUGGCUUGAUCACUUCCUUUCUUAGAACAUACCCUUUCCAGAAAAGCUGAUAGCUGGAUCAAAUCAAGGCCUCUAAACUCAUUCUCAUCAAAAUUUAUUACCUUUCUGUGACUAGGAUUAUAAUGAAAGGCCAAAAAUCUCUUCUCUCCCCUUUGAUGUUAAGGGUCCAAGAAUGCCUGGUUCCCUGUGGGGUACAGAAAUAACCCUGACUUGGAGUCAUAUGAUUUGGGUUUUAUUUCACCUCAUUUUGCAAACUAACUGUAAAGCUCUCUGGACUUCAGUUCCCUUAUCUACCAACCAUGGAGAAGAAAGCCUGCUUUCCAGUGCUGCAAAGAGGAGGAAACAACAUCAUGAACAUGAAACUGAUCAUCUCUCCUUAAGGCUUUUAUUCUGAUAUUUUCGAGACAUGGCAACCUGAAAGACCCAAGAUCAUCUCUACUUAAGGGGGAGACUUUCUUGGAAACAGAUAAAGGAAAGAGUCCAGUAAUUUGUAGCAAUGUGACUACAGCCACACAUGUCCUAGAAUUAAUGUUCUUCAUUAGGGUGAGUAGGAUCAGCUGUAUGUAUACAUCAGGUUUUUAAUUAACUCAGUCCCCACAACAGGAUUCAUGAUUCAAACUGUUAGCAUUUUUUUUCCUUAAAUCACAAAAUAAAAAAAUUGGGUGGCACA
RNAcentral lists this long non-coding RNA (981 nucleotides) under Felis catus (domestic cat). RNAcentral describes it as "lncRNA (ENSFCAG00000046921.1)". Lineage: Eukaryota; Metazoa; Chordata; Mammalia; Carnivora; Felidae. The record is from RNAcentral.